RNAcentral lists this ribosomal RNA (494 nucleotides) under uncultured bacterium. RNAcentral describes it as "partial 16S ribosomal RNA". It matches the Rfam family "Bacterial small subunit ribosomal RNA", at positions 28 to 523 of the family's 1533-position model. The record is from RNAcentral.
GAUGAACGCUGGCGGCGUGCUUAACACAUGCAAGUCGAACGGGAAAUAUUUCAUUGAGACUUUGGUGGAUUUGAUCUAUUUCUAGUGGCGGACGGGUGAGUAACGCGUGGGUAACCUGCCUUAUACAGGGGGAUAACAGUCAGAAAUGGCUGCUAAUACCGCAUAAGCGCACAGAGCUGCAUGGCUCAGUGUGAGAAACUCCGGUGGUAUAAGAUGGACCCGCGUUGGAUUAGCUUGUUGGUGGGGUAACGGCCCACCAAGGCGACGAUCCAUAGCCGGCCUGAGAGGGUGAACGGCCACAUUGGGACUGAGACACGGCCCAGACUCCUACGGGAGGCAGCAGUGGGGAAUAUUGCACAAUGGGGGAAACCCUGAUGCAGCGACGCCGCGUGAAGGAAGAAGUAUCUCGGUAUGUAAACUUCUAUCAGCAGGGAAGAUAGUGACGGUACCUGACUAAGAAGCCCCGGCUAACUACGUGCCAGCCGCCGCAGUAA